Molecule: small RNA, 195 nt
Filed under: Gordonia polyisoprenivorans VH2
Lineage: Bacteria; Bacillati; Actinomycetota; Actinomycetes; Mycobacteriales; Gordoniaceae
Description: Actinobacteria sRNA Ms_IGR-5
Rfam family: Actinobacteria sRNA Ms_IGR-5
Source: Rfam by way of RNAcentral
ACACAUGGAAGGAGGUGGUCCGAAGUUGAUUGGCAAACGGACAAGUGAGGUGACCAUCCGCUGACGCGGAGAUCCAUCUGAUAUCCCUCGAUCGAUCCCUCGCAUCGGCGAAUACCAGGUGGUCACCCGACCCCCGCACCCGACCUGGUCCGGUCGCUCGGCCCGAAUUCCCGGGCGGUGCGGGGGUCGUUCCAU